GGGUGGAUAGCUCAGUGGUAGAGCACGUACAUUGCAUGCACAAGGUCCUGGGUUCAAUCCCCAGCACCUC
RNAcentral lists this transfer RNA (70 nucleotides) under Camelus bactrianus (Bactrian camel). It matches the Rfam family "tRNA". From Rfam's summary of the family: Transfer RNA (tRNA) molecules are approximately 80 nucleotides in length. RNAcentral also lists the same sequence under 1 other name. The record is from Rfam by way of RNAcentral. Lineage: Eukaryota; Metazoa; Chordata; Mammalia; Artiodactyla; Camelidae.